CGGAGGAUCCAAGCGUUAUCCGGAUUUAUUGGGUUUAAAGGGUGCGUAGGCGGCUUUUUAAGUCAGGGGUGAAAGACGGUAGCUCAACUAUCGCAGUGCCCUUGAUACUGAAGAGCUUGAAUGGACUAGAGGUAGGCGGAAUGUGACAAGUAGCGGUGAAAUGCAUAGAUAUGUCACAGAACACCGAUUGCGAAGGCAGCUUACUAUGGUUUAAUUGACGCUGAGGCACGAAAGCGUGGGAUCAAACAGGAUU
RNAcentral lists this ribosomal RNA (253 nucleotides) under uncultured bacterium. RNAcentral describes it as "partial 16S ribosomal RNA". It matches the Rfam family "Bacterial small subunit ribosomal RNA", at positions 526 to 779 of the family's 1533-position model. The record is from RNAcentral.